UUACCCUACGGGACGCAGCAGUGAGGAAUAUUGGUCAAUGGGCGCGAGCCUGAACCAGCCAAGUCGCGUGAGGGAAGACGGUCCUAUGGAUUGUAAACCUCUUUUGUCGGGGAGCAACGGGGUCCUUGCGAGGGCCCGAUGAGAGUACCCGGAGAAAAAGCAUCGGCUAACUCCGUGCCAGUAGCCGCGGUAAUACGGAGGAUGCGAGCGUUAUCCGGAUUUAUUGGGUUUAAAGGGUGCGUAGGCGGGCUGUUAAGUCAGCGGUCAAAUGUCGGGGCUCAACCCCGGCCUGCCGUUGAAACUGG
This 305-nucleotide ribosomal RNA is filed under the name uncultured bacterium. RNAcentral's name for it is "bacterial SSU rRNA". It matches the Rfam family "Bacterial small subunit ribosomal RNA", at positions 334 to 636 of the family's 1533-position model. The record is from RNAcentral.